AGUUAACGUUAAAUUUUUGAAGUUAUUUUAGCUUUUUUGUUGGGUGAAAUCAGUAUAAAGAGUUUUUCCUUCUUUAAAAAUUAAUAGGAAUUAAAAAACUCUGAUUUAAAACCAGGAUUAGAUACCCUGUUAUUCUGAGUUAUAUUUAGACAGGGUAGUAAAAGUUGUUCUUCAAACCCAAAGAUUUUGGCGGCACUUUAUCCAAAUAGAGGAGCUUGCCCCUUAAUCGAUAGUCCCCGUUUUAUCUUUCCUCUGUUUGUAGAGCUUGUAUACCGCCGUUGUCAGAUUACUUCUAGAGAAUGUUUUCAAAUUAAAAGAUUUUUUUACUUCAGGUCAAGGUGCAGUUUAUAUAGAGGUGAAGGUGAGCUACAAUUUUCUUUACAAAUAUGGAUACUAAGCCUCGAAGCUGGUUGAAGGUGGAUUUAUUAGUAAAGUAAUUUAAGUAAA
RNAcentral lists this ribosomal RNA (447 nucleotides) under Daphnia longispina. RNAcentral describes it as "partial 12S ribosomal RNA". The record is from RNAcentral. Lineage: Eukaryota; Metazoa; Arthropoda; Branchiopoda; Diplostraca; Daphniidae.